This 492-nucleotide ribosomal RNA is filed under the name uncultured bacterium. Its description in RNAcentral is "partial 16S ribosomal RNA". It matches the Rfam family "Bacterial small subunit ribosomal RNA", at positions 29 to 507 of the family's 1533-position model. The record is from RNAcentral.
AGUGAACGCUGGCGGUAGGCCUAACACAUGCAAGUCGAACGGCAGCACAGUAAGAGCUUGCUCUUACGGGUGGCGAGUGGCGGACGGGUGAGGAACACAUCGGAAUCUACUUUUUCGUGGGGGAUAACGUAGGGAAACUUACGCUAAUACCGCAUACGACCUACGGGUGAAAGCAGGGGAUCUUCGGACCUUGCGCGAUUGAAUGAGCCGAUGUCGGAUUAGCUAGUUGGCGGGGUAAAGGCCCACCAAGGCGACGAUCCGUAGCUGGUCUGAGAGGAUGAUCAGCCACACUGGAACUGAGACACGGUCCAGACUCCUACGGGAGGCAGCAGUGGGGAAUAUUGGACAAUGGGCGCAAGCCUGAUCCAGCCAUACCGCGUGGGUGAAGAAGGCCUUCAGGUUGUAAAGCCCUUUUGUUGGGAAAGAAAAGCAGCAGGUUAAUACCCCGCUGUUCUGACGGUACCCAAAGAAUAGGCACCGGCUAACUUCGUG